AUUGAACGCUGGCGGCAUGCCUUACACAUGCAAGUCGAACGGUAACGGGCCUUCGGGUGCCGACGAGUGGCGCACGGGUGAGUAAUACAUCGGAACGUGCCCGAUCGUGGGGGAUAACGAGGCGAAAGCUUUGCUAAUACCGCAUACGAUCUACGGAUGAAAGCAGGGGACCGCAAGGCCUUGCGCGGACGGAGCGGCCGAUGGCAGAUUAGGUAGUUGGUGGGAUAAAAGCUUACCAAGCCGACGAUCUGUAGCUGGUCUGAGAGGAUGAUCAGCCACACUGGGACUGAGACACGGCCCAGACUCCUACGGGAGGCAGCAGUGGGGAAUUUUGGACAAUGGGCGCAAGCCUGAUCCAGCCAUGCCGCGUGCAGGAUGAAGGCCUUCGGGUUGUAAACUGCUUUUGUACGGAACGAAAAGCCUUCUUUUAAUACAGGAGGGUCAUGACGGUACCGGAAGAAUAAGCACCGGCUAACUACGUG
Molecule: ribosomal RNA, 482 nt
Filed under: uncultured bacterium
Lineage: Bacteria
Description: partial 16S ribosomal RNA
Rfam family: Bacterial small subunit ribosomal RNA
Source: RNAcentral